Oncorhynchus tshawytscha (Chinook salmon) is the source of this 2448-nucleotide long non-coding RNA. The record is from Ensembl. NCBI's taxonomy places the organism in Eukaryota, Metazoa, Chordata, Actinopteri, Salmoniformes, Salmonidae.
CUGCACUGAUCAAUUCAGGGUUUUCCCUACAAAAUAGUUUCAUUAAAAAAACAGGAAGAUCCAACUAAGAUAAAAGGGACAAGUCACAAGUUUUGUUUCACCAAAGAUCUCAAACCGGCUCAUUGCGAAGCUGUUGCAUUACGCAGGUCUCUCGUGCGUGUUUGCGUUGAUAAAUUAAUGUUUAGAGGUCAACAAUGAUUUAAUACCAUAGACACUUGUUAAGCGGCUAGUUAAAACUUGCCAGUUAUUUCAUUUUCAUGAUAAAUUAAUGUUGGAGCCUCUAGCAAGUCGGUAGUAAACUAAGUAAACCGCUGACUGACAGGGGAAUUGCCCGACUGGGCGAGUGAGCGGGUGAGAGAGGAGGAAAAAGGUAGAGAGAGGGGUGUGGGACUGCAAAAGGUGGUCCUCCUUAGGCACAUGUGAUUUCGUUCCGAGACCUACGAGCUGAAAGACCAGGCAUGAGUCCAAGGAUGGGUAAAACAUGUCUAUACCUGUGGAUAUAAAAGUAUCGAUUACGGAUGGAUUGUAUUGGUUUAUUGUCUUGCUGGACUGCUGGCCAUGCACGGGAAAUAUAUAUUUGCGCUCACGCCGCAAUUGUUAGGCAUUGAGUGGUGGUCAUGGAGAGACUGAGCUCUCUCUGAGUCAUUGUUGGAUGUCCGGAAUAGCUUUUGAAUUGAAAUCAUGCUAUGUUUUGGGGUCUAUGAAAAUAUCUCCUGAAAUGGAAAUGAAUAGACAAAUAUAGAUGUCAAUUCGGUAACCCGGGGUGUGGAAUAUUACGCACUUUUCCCUCAUGGCUUUACCAAACUCCUCGGGCUCCUCUGGAGCUGACAAGCCCAACCCCAGUCUCAUAGAUCUGGGAAUAUUCUUCGUGGACUCUGAUAUCAUAUUUGGAUUUACCAGUCAUCUUCUGAGGAGAAAAGCAAAGAACUACGUCUAGUAGGUAUACCCAGACCAAGGAGAAUGAACUCAUUUCGGGGAAAUGCAACUCUUGGACGGGACCCUGACAACUGCAGGUUUACUGUGGAGGGUUGUCCCAGCGGAGAGUCGCCGUUCCUUCUUGAUCUGAAUACCAGGAAAAUACUUCACUCAUCCGAGUAUGCGCGGUGUAACAGCCGGCCACCACCCGAGGGCGCUGGGUCGGUGACUGUCUCCGAGUCAGAGAGAAGGGACGGCAAAGGAAGCUUUUGCCAACAAUGUCAAAUUAAUGUGACUGAGCUGAAGAGGCAAGCGCUGGCCUUGGCAGACCCAAGUUCACUAACGAUUUGUGAAUACAUGUUUAACUUUACUUUGAGUCUCAAGGCUGGUUGUAUUUGACCCGUAAUGCUCGGUUUGCAUGACAAGGACAGACUGCCUUGGUUCCAACUUCCACUCAUUUAUUGCAGGGGAUAUAGGGGCACAGAUGGCAUGCUCAGAAUAAAGCGUGCUUCCACCUUCCUCCCAGUGUAGAUAGCUGUAGGCAUGCAGUGUGAUUCUGCAUGUUUCUGACUAUGUCCUGUGUCAUGACCCAUGCUCCAGCUUUGCCUUGUGGUCCUCAUCACUGAUGGGCACCCCUCUGAUGGUUUUAUGUUUGUACUCACUGCCAAUGUGCCUAUGAGAUAGUCCAGUGCAAUGGGUACACAUGGCUGUAAGACUUGUGAGCUCUGUAUUCCCAGCAUGUAGUAGCUGUUGCUCAGGCUGUGUUGAUUGUCAAGCAAAUAGCUGUUGGUCUCACGGUAAAUGACCGUUAAUUUAAAACACAUCCUGCCUUCCACACAGCCUACAAGCAAUUUAAAAAGUCGAAUAAAUCCCUGUAAUAUAACCUACACCAAUAAAUCCAUUAUUUAUUUGAGACAGUUCUAAAGAAGCAUAAUAUGAAGAAAAUGUAGUCUAUUUCCGAAUAAAAAAAUAGCUAUCCUUAUGUUAGGUCCUGAUGUGGCUAUGCCAAAUGGCUGUGGGCUACACUAGUUCAUUUAGCAGACAAGAUUUGCUUAUAAUUCCGUGGCAUUAUUUUUUAUUAUGUUAUAGUAUGAAGAAUACAAUUGCACAAAGCUGAAUAAAAUGUAGAUAUUUUCUCCAAAUUAUUUGAGGGAGUGCGCACAGAAAUAUGUACCCCUAUAUGCUUAUUUUAGAGUUAUUAAUGUACCUUUAGUUCUACAAAGAAUGUCAUAUGUAGCUAUAUGUUUCGAUUUUUAAUACAUCGUAAGGCUGCAUGAUGAGACUAAUGAUGAUUUUGAAAAGUUGCUUGAAAGGCACGAGCUCUGCUUUGUUUUUUUUGUGCAGGCUGUACACACUCCAAUAGUCACUCAUCCACAAUUUGACAAGCAUGCCUUGAUAAUGCCUCGAAAUUCAUGGCGGUAUCCCCUUCGUGGCAGUAAUGCACCCUAAAAAAAUCCAUUCAUUUUGUGGCCAGAGUGCUGUGUUGUGCCCUUCUCGCUGAGAGUGCUGCGCAAUCCGAAGCGUCUCUCACUC